This 929-nucleotide long non-coding RNA is filed under the name Monodelphis domestica (gray short-tailed opossum). Its description in RNAcentral is "lncRNA (ENSMODG00000043682.1)". Lineage: Eukaryota; Metazoa; Chordata; Mammalia; Didelphimorphia; Didelphidae. The record is from RNAcentral.
UCUAGGCAAAUCACUUAGUCUCUGUCUCAUUUUCCUCAUCUGGAAAAUGGGGAUAAUAAUAACAUCUACCUUCUGGAUUUGUUGUGUGGCUCAAAUGAGAUCAUAUUUACCAAGUGCCUGGCUUAUAGGAGCCACAAAUAAAUUCUUGUUCCUUUCUCUUCCCUCAAAGGACUAGAAGCACAUGCCAUGGGCUCGAAAGGUCUCCUAAAAUGGAGUCCAGGGGUAAUUGAACAUUAAAGCAUGGUUGCAUUGUACAAAGUCUGUAGUGUCACCUGGGGGAGUGGUAGAAGAUAAUGCCACUCAUUCUCAUGUUGAGGCUCCAGUUUGUUUGUUACAAAAUCAGCCCCUUCUGAGUCAAACGGAAACAUGGGAAAGAGCUGAAGAUAUGGUGGAGGGAAGGUUUAAAAAGGAGAUGGACGGACAAGGAUGGAAUCCAGUUGAGUACCAUGAAGGCUGAAAGAAAGAUGGCAGAAUAAGAUGUAGGAAAUGAUUCAAGAUCCAUUUGUCCUACUUUGGGCUAAGUAAGUAACGAUAGGCCAGACACUUGGAGGCAGGGCCAAACUUUAGCUCAUGGAUUAGGAAACGCACCCUGAGCUCAUGGCACCCAAUUCCCUGAAAUUGACUUAAGAACAAUUUUUCUUCUUCCAGAGGGUUGCCAGCUUCAAGUCUGAGGACAAGUAAAUGACCAUCAGCUUGGGCUAGAGCUUACUGCAGUGGAUCACUUCACUGAAAGGGAUUGUUUCCAGAAGGCCAGAACUUGGCCUGGCGUGGAAGCAAAUGAUCUCAACGACCAUCUUAUUCAGAGAGGAUACCUGGGUGCAUGUACAAGAAUGGAUAAGCUUCUGGCUGGAAGAGAGAACUUGUGGAACAUGAGGAGAAGAGACAGAUAUGCAAAUCUCUCCCCAGGCCAAUAUAUCCAUGUGGCCUAA